GUGCCAGCAGCCGCGGUAAUACCGGCAGCCCAAGUGAUGGCCGAUCUUAUUGGGCCUAAAGCGUUCGUAGCUGGCCGGACAAGUCCGUUGGGAAAUCUGUUCGCUUAACGAGCAGGCGUCCAGCGGAAACUGUUCGGCUUGGGACCGGAAGACCUGAGGGGUACGUCUGGGGUAGGAGUGAAAUCCUGUAAUCCUGGACGGACCGCCGGUGGCGAAAGCGCCUCAGGAGAACGGAUCCGACAGUGAGGGACGAAAGCUAGGGUCUCGAACCGGAUUAGAAACCCCGGUAGUCC
RNAcentral lists this ribosomal RNA (293 nucleotides) under uncultured prokaryote. RNAcentral's name for it is "partial 16S ribosomal RNA". It matches the Rfam family "Archaeal small subunit ribosomal RNA", at positions 455 to 747 of the family's 1478-position model. The record is from RNAcentral.